This 496-nucleotide ribosomal RNA is filed under the name uncultured bacterium. Its description in RNAcentral is "partial 16S ribosomal RNA". It matches the Rfam family "Bacterial small subunit ribosomal RNA", at positions 28 to 507 of the family's 1533-position model. The record is from RNAcentral.
GAUGAACGCUGGCGGCGUGCCUAAUACAUGCAAGUCGAGCGAACAGACGAGGAGCUUGCUCCUCUGACGUUAGCGGCGGACGGGUGAGUAACACGUGGAUAACCUACCUAUAAGACUGGGAUAACUUCGGGAAACCGGAGCUAAUACCGGAUAAUAUAUUGAACCGCAUGGUUCAAUAGUGAAAGACGGUUUUGCUGUCACUUAUAGAUGGAUCCGCGCCGCAUUAGCUAGUUGGUAAGGUAACGGCUUACCAAGGCAACGAUGCGUAGCCGACCUGAGAGGGUGAUCGGCACACUGGAACUGAGACACGGUCCAGACUCCUACGGGAGGCAGCAGUAGGGAAUCUUCCGCAAUGGGCGAAAGCCUGACGGAGCAACGCCGCGUGAGUGAUGAAGGUCUUCGGAUCGUAAAACUCUGUUAUUAGGGAAGAACAAAUGUGUAAGUAACUGUGCACGUCUUGACGGUACCUAAUCAGAAAGCCACGGCUAACUACGUG